Molecule: microRNA, 22 nt
Filed under: Homo sapiens (human)
Lineage: Eukaryota; Metazoa; Chordata; Mammalia; Primates; Hominidae
Description: hsa-miR-6720-3p
Source: miRBase by way of RNAcentral
CGCGCCUGCAGGAACUGGUAGA